Molecule: non-coding RNA, 25 nt
Filed under: Mus musculus (house mouse)
Lineage: Eukaryota; Metazoa; Chordata; Mammalia; Rodentia; Muridae
Source: RNAcentral
UGGUUCACCUAUUUUCCACAGCCUC